GUUCCUGUAGCGCAAUGGAUAGCGCGUUGGACUUCUAAUCCAAAGGUCGUGGGUUCGAAUCCUACUAGGGAUG
RNAcentral lists this transfer RNA (73 nucleotides) under Trichonephila inaurata madagascariensis. It matches the Rfam family "tRNA". Rfam says of the family: Transfer RNA (tRNA) molecules are approximately 80 nucleotides in length. The record is from Rfam by way of RNAcentral. Lineage: Eukaryota; Metazoa; Arthropoda; Arachnida; Araneae; Nephilidae.